RNAcentral lists this ribosomal RNA (253 nucleotides) under uncultured bacterium. RNAcentral's name for it is "partial 16S ribosomal RNA". It matches the Rfam family "Bacterial small subunit ribosomal RNA", at positions 524 to 776 of the family's 1533-position model. The record is from RNAcentral.
UACGUAGGGGGCAAGCGUUGUCCGGAAUCAUUGGGCGUAAAGAGCGUGUAGGCGGCCCGAUAAGUCCGCUGUGAAAGUCCAGGGCUCAACCCUGGGAUGCCGGUGGAUACUGUCGGGCUCGAGUCCGGAAGAGGAGUGUGGAAUUCCUGGUGUAGCGGUGAAAUGCGCAGAUAUCAGGAGGAACACCAAUGGCGAAGGCAGCUCGCUGGGACGUUACUGACGCUGAGACGCGAAAGCGUGGGGAGCAAACAGG